CGUUGGGUCCGCCGAUAUUCUC
This 22-nucleotide microRNA is filed under the name Ananas comosus (pineapple). RNAcentral's name for it is "microRNA s1183_c017b". The record is from RNAcentral. Lineage: Eukaryota; Viridiplantae; Streptophyta; Magnoliopsida; Poales; Bromeliaceae.